UACGUAGGGGGCGAGCGUUGUCCGGAUUCAUUGGGCGUAAAGAGCUCGUAGGCGGUUCGGCAAGUCGGAUGUGAAAUCUCCACGCUUAACGUGGAGGGGCCAUUCGAAACUGCCGUGACUCGAGUCCGGUAGGGGAGUUCGGAAUUCCCGGUGUAGCGGUGGAAAUGCGCAGAUAUCAGGAGGAACACCAGCGGCGAAGGCGGCGCUCUGGGCUGGCACUGACACUGAGGAGCGAAAGCGUGGGGAGCGAACAGG
RNAcentral lists this ribosomal RNA (255 nucleotides) under uncultured bacterium. RNAcentral describes it as "partial 16S ribosomal RNA". It matches the Rfam family "Bacterial small subunit ribosomal RNA", at positions 524 to 776 of the family's 1533-position model. The record is from RNAcentral.